Rhododendron vialii is the source of this 877-nucleotide long non-coding RNA. RefSeq lists it as uncharacterized. The transcript is spliced from 3 exons. NCBI's taxonomy places the organism in Eukaryota, Viridiplantae, Streptophyta, Magnoliopsida, Ericales, Ericaceae. The record is from RefSeq and is a predicted model, not a curated record.
AUGAGGUGUCUUUAACAGCCAUGGCCCUUAACUGCAGAACAAGCUGAGAGGUGAGAUUUGGUGAAUCAUCUUGUUGAUGAAAGCAAAUUGCUGAAGAAAGCCCGGAAGUUGCAGAGGCUAUCUUCAAAAAUAAUCAAGACUCCGAAGUGUUGAGGUACAAAGGCAUCCCCCAGAACAAGAAUGCAAACCACGAACAAAGCGGCAAACAGAACUAGUAAAGGAUAUCUUUUUUAGAGCUUAUCCACCAGCUGAGGCUGACAACAACAGAAGUUUAGAAGACUUAAGUACAAAGAACAGAUACAUCAAUCAGAGGCAAACGCAUUAGCAUAGAUUUGCCAGUCAAGACAUCCAAGUCUAUUCUUAUCUGACUUCUUGAUAUUCUUCCACGAUCAAAGAGGUCAAGGAUAUAACACUUGUUCGCUAGAAGUUAAUGAACAAACAUAAAGCUACUUGGUAAAGCAGGAGAGGUACCUUCUUUGCUUGAAAUGGCAUGUCUUUUGAGUAUUGAACUACUUGUCAAAAAUCCGUAAAACAGUUUCAUAAGCCAGACGAGCCCAGUAGCAGCUUAUUUGAGCUUGGUUUGAAACUUUAACGAGCUUCAAAAAGUGAGGGCUUUACUCUCCCUCUUUCCUUCCUUAUUUUCAAUUAUACCUAUGUAGAAAAAGGGAGGCCGGAAGUUCACACAAAAAGGUAUCUUCAAGUGAUGAAAUCCAAACUGAAAGCAAUCAUUUCCAUUCUAUGAACCUAAAAUCUCUAGCAAAAACCGGUGCUUGCAACAGUAAUACACACAAAGUAGUUGACAAUUGCCUCAAUUUAAACAUGCAAAUUAUGCAAGAAAUUUCUUGUUGUCACAGAUUAAUUGGUGUACAAAAGAUCA